RNAcentral lists this ribosomal RNA (495 nucleotides) under uncultured bacterium. RNAcentral describes it as "partial 16S ribosomal RNA". It matches the Rfam family "Bacterial small subunit ribosomal RNA", at positions 30 to 507 of the family's 1533-position model. The record is from RNAcentral.
UGAACGCUGGCGGCGUGCCUACUACAUGCACGUCGAGCGAACAGACGAGGAGCUUGCUCCUCUGACGUUAGCGGCGGACGGGUGAGUAACACGUGGAUAACCUACCUAUAAGACUGGGAUAACUUCGGGAAACCGGAGCUAAUACCGGAUAAUAUAUUGAACCGCAUGGUUCAAUAGUGAAAGACGGUUUUGCUGUCACUUAUAGAUGGAUCCGCGCCGCAUUAGCUAGUUGGUAAGGUAACGGCUUACCAAGGCAACGAUGCGUAGCCGACCUGAGAGGGUGAUCGGCCACACUGGAACUGAGACACGGUCCAGACUCCUACGGGAGGCAGCAGUAGGGAAUCUUCCGCAAUGGGCGAAAGCUUGACGGAGCAACGCCGCGUGAGUGAUGAAGGUCUUCGGAUCGUAAAACUCUGUUAUUAGGGAAGAACAAAUGUGUAAGUAACUAUGCACGUCUUGACGGUACCUAAUCAGAAAGCCACGGCUAACUACGUG